Molecule: ribosomal RNA, 515 nt
Filed under: uncultured bacterium
Lineage: Bacteria
Description: partial 16S ribosomal RNA
Rfam family: Bacterial small subunit ribosomal RNA
Source: RNAcentral
GACGAACGCUGGCGGCGUGCCUAACACAUGAAGUCGAACGGAGUGUUUAUUUAUAAACACUUAGUGGCGAACGGGUGAGUAACGCGUAGACAACCUACCCUCUAGAUGGGGACAACACCGCGAAAGUGGUGCUAAUACCGAAUGUUGUAAUGUUGUUGCAUAAUGAUAUUACUAAAGGUGGCCUCUAUAUAUAAGCUACCGCUAGAAGAUGGGUCUGCGUCUGAUUAGCUAGUUGGUGAGAUAACUGCUCACCAAGGCAAUGAUCAGUAGCCGGGCUGGGAGGCUGAACGGCAAAACUGGGACUGAGACACGGCCCAGACUCCUACGGGAGGCAGCAGUGGGGAAUCUUCCGCAAUGGACGAAAGUCUGACGGAGCAACGCCGCGUGAGUGAAGAAGGUUUUCGGAUCGUAAAGCUCUGUCUUCAAGGACGGAUGUAGAUAUUGUGAAUAAUGAUAUUUAAUGACGGUACUUGAGGAGGAAGCCACGGCUAACUACGUGCCAGCCGCCGCCGUAA